RNAcentral lists this ribosomal RNA (257 nucleotides) under uncultured bacterium. RNAcentral's name for it is "partial 16S ribosomal RNA". It matches the Rfam family "Bacterial small subunit ribosomal RNA", at positions 524 to 776 of the family's 1533-position model. The record is from RNAcentral.
UACAGAGGGUGCGAGCGUUAAUCGGAAUUACUGGGCGUAAAGCGUGCGCAGGCGGUUUGGUAAGACAGAUGUGAAAUCCCCCGGGCUCAACCUGGGAAUUGCAUUUGUGACUGCCCGACUAGAGUGUGUCAGAGGGGGGGUAGAAUUCCACGUGUAGCAGUGAAAUGCGUAGAGAUGUGGGAGGAAUACCGAUGGCGAAGGCAGCCCCCCUGGGAUAACACUGACGCUCAUGCACGAAAGCGUGGGGAGCAAACAGG